RNAcentral lists this ribosomal RNA (216 nucleotides) under uncultured Glomus. RNAcentral describes it as "partial small subunit ribosomal RNA". It matches the Rfam family "Eukaryotic small subunit ribosomal RNA", at positions 569 to 788 of the family's 1831-position model. Lineage: Eukaryota; Fungi; Glomeromycota; Glomeromycetes; Glomerales; Glomeraceae. The record is from RNAcentral.
AGCAGCCGCGGUAAUUCCAGCUCCAAUAGCGUAUAUUAAAGUUGUUGCAGUUAAAAAGCUCGUAGUUGAAUUUCGGGAUCAAUACGUCGGUCGUGCUUCGGUACGUACUAACGUUAUUGGUUUCUCCUUUCUAACAAAUCGUGAUGUCAUUAAUUUGGUGUUACGGGGAGUUGGGACUGUUACUUUGAAAAAAUUAGAGUGUUUAAAGCAGGCUAA